GAGGUUGACAUGUAGCGUGUUUUACGUGCACAUUUUCACAUAACACCAAAAGGGAAACUCAAGAAUCACAGUUUGUCAUCUCCUGCCCACCUGUGUGUCGACCGGCGGCUCCUCUGAUUGCAGCCGUGUGCUCUGAAGGGAUGUUGGUAGGUGCAAGGGAGUCAAGGAGGAAACUGAAAAGGCUUUGGACCUCAGCUGGAUCCCACAAUACUUCUAAAGCUCAACAGAUACUGGGCUACUUAAAUCCAGCGUAAAAGUUCCUCAGUUUCACCACCAGAGGGGGCUGCUAUUUGAUACACACAACACAAAACAACUUAAAAAAAAAAGACAAUAAUAACAUUUACUAUGUUUUACUAAA
Molecule: long non-coding RNA, 358 nt
Organism: Seriola aureovittata
Lineage: Eukaryota; Metazoa; Chordata; Actinopteri; Carangiformes; Carangidae
Exons: 2
Source: RefSeq, a predicted model, not a curated record